CCUAAAUAUGAAUCACAGCAGCUCCUGCGCCGCAGUGCCGCACUCCAUUCUCCAAACUCACGAACUCAAUCAGUGCAUCACGUUUCACAGAUUCAUCCCUCAGUUUAGAAUAGUCGUUACUCCCCUCACGGAGUCACGGGCUCAGUGGCUCACACGGAUUUCCAGCGUUAACCCAGCUCACCUCACGUCGCCGUCUUUCUCACUUCUCAUUUCAGGGUUCUCUAUUUUCUGGUGGAAAUCUGCAAUAUAUAUUUCGGUAAGCACCUUGUAGAUUAUGAUGUAUAUAUGGGAAACUUGUAGAUUGUUGGCAGUAUAUUUCCUUUUGGUAUCGAUCGAUUCUGAUGUAUAUAUUGGCUUGUUGGCAGUAUAUUUUUUUUCCCAUAUAUCUCACAGUUUGGAGCGUGGGAAUAAGGUAGUCAGUAUCUAUGGUUGAGAACUUGAGAGCAGUUGUGAUGUUUGACAAAAUUAACAUCCUUUUAGACUUGUAUUCGACCCUCAACUCAAACUACCAGUCUUGCAUAAACCAUGUGAGUGGUAGAUACGGUUGACUUGUUGCUAAGAAAAAUUAAAUACUGACGAAAAAACUUCUCUUCAGUAUCAAUACUUACUUUUCAUUUUCUACCUUCUAUCAUGCUUUGUGGGACUUCUGUUUCUUCAUAAUUUAUGAGCAUGCAUUUUGUUUUUUGUUUUUUUUGGCUUCUAUUUCAUCAAUGUCCUCUUUAGUAGAUAAUAUACUCAUGGAUUUAAUUUUAAAAAGAUUUUUCAAAUUCUUGCUGAUUUUUAUUUCUGCUACCAUUAUUUUGUUCAUGGAUUAAUUUUGAAAAAGUUUUCAAAAUUCUAGCUUUUGAUUGUUUAUUGCAUCUAGUUUCUUCCAGAAGCCUGUCAACCACAGUAGAGUAGUAUUUCAUUACCAAAAGCAUUCUGUUUGUAAUUGUAGGAAAUUAUCUCACCGCUUUUGGCUUUGAGCUCAAUGAACAAAGAAAGCUUGUAAAGAGUUUGAAAAAGAAAUCUCUUUGGUCUAGAAAUUUUGAAGAGGUAUAUAUCUAUGAACAUGUCAUUAUCUGAAGAGAUACUCGGAUACUGAGCAUGGUGUCUAAAUAAUUAGUCUUACCCUCCACAGAACAGAGUAGAAUUAUUAUUUCUCUCAGUGAAGUUACUUAUUCUUCUGUUUCAAAGUAUUCUGCUCAUUGCAGAUUGUGAAGAAGCUUUUGGAUUUUAGCACUUGUAUACAUAAAGCUAUACGGGAAGCUUUUGGAAAUAAUGAUGAGUUCGGCAGCAGGUGAAAAUGAUGAUUUGAUUGAUUUGGACCUAUUUGAGUCAGAAAGUUUUCAAAAUGAGGAAUCUAAAACAAAACAAAGGAAACGGUCAAACGUGUGGACUUUUUUUGAAAUGGUUCCUGAGUCUAAGAACAAUGAUGGCAAGCCACGAGCAAAGUGCAAGAUGUGUGGAGUUACUUACAUGGCUGCGAAUAAAUAUGGAACCGGAAAUAUGAAGCAUCACAUUGAUGCAUGCCCUAGGAGAAGUUCACGAGAUAUUGGUCAGAUGAUGUUAUCACAAGGUAGUGGAUCUAUUUCGGUAAGCACUACUAAAUUUGAAACUGAACAAUAUAGAGAACUUUUGAUAGCUGCUAUUGUGAAGUAUGAACUGCCUUUCCGUUUUGUUGAAUACUCAAGGGUGAGAUCUUUGUUACAAUAUUUGCAUCCGGAUGUUUCAAUUAUUUCUAGGAAUACUGCCAAAGUUGAUUUGGUUAAGAUAUAUAAUUGAGAAAAGAAAAGGAUUAAAUGCAUGUUAAAUGAUUCUCCUGGUAGUAUUAGUCUAACAUCUAACUUGUGGACUUCUAUAACCACUGAUGGUUAUAUGUGCAUUACAGAACAUUUUUUGGAUAAGAAUUGGGUUCUGCAAAAAAGGGUUUUGAACUUUUCUUUUAUGCCACCACCACAUAAUGGCAUAUUUUUGUCUAAAAAAAUUUAUAAUUUGCUAUGUGAGUGAGGAAUUCAACACAAGAUUUUUGUAUUGACUUUAGACAAUGCUUCAUCUAAUGAUGUUUCAGUGGAGUUGUUAAGAACUCAAUUGAACAUUAAAAAAGCUCUUCUUUGUGAUGGUGAGUUCUUUCAUCUUCGUUGUUGCGCUCAUAUUCUGAAUUUGAUAGUACAAGAUGGGUUAAAAGAGAUUGAUUCUACUAUCCAAAAAGUUCAUGAGAGUAUCAAGUAUGUCAAAUGGUCACAAUCAAGGUAGGUAAAAUUUUUAGAUUCUACAAAACAAAUGUCUUUGGAUAGCAAAAAAGGGUUGAGAUAAGAUGUUCCCACUAGAUGGAAUUCUACUUUUCUUAUACUUGAGAGUGCUAUUUUCUAUCGUCGUGCUUUCAGUCAUUUGGAGUUGAUUGAUUCUAAUUUUAAGCAUUGUCCAUCAAUAUUUGAUUGGGAAAAAAUAGAGAAGAUCAACAGUUUGUUGGGAGUUUUUUAUGAAGCCACUUGUGAUUUUUCUGGGACCAAAUACCCUACAGCCAAUCUAUACUUUCCAACAGUGUUUUUGAUUUAUUUUACAUUAAAGCGACACUCUGAGGGUGAAAAUGACUACAUGAAGACCAUGUGUUGUAAAAUGCUUGCUAAGUUUGAGAAAUAUUGGUCUGAGUUCAAUGUAUUGUUGGCUAUAGCAGUUAUUUUGGAUCCUUGAUACAAGUUUCAUUUUGUUGAUUUUUCUUAUACAAAGCUUUAUGGGGAUUGUUCCAUUGAGUAUAUGAAUGUUUGGAGUAAAAUUUCAUCUCUUUUCAUGGAAUAUAGUUCUUCUAGUGCUCCCACAUGUUCUACCACGACUUUUGAUAGCACUUAUAGUAGAGCAAAAAGUCAAUUUUCGAUUAAUAAACAAGUAUUUCAGGUAAUAACUGUAUAAUAUUUUUUGUUUAAUGAUUUAUAUUAUAUUGUUGUUCUAUGAUUUAUAAUAUUUUAUUUUUGUGUACAGGAAUUUGAUUCAUUUAGACAUGAUGACCUUACUGCCCAUAUGCAAAAAAGUCAAUUGAAUCUUUACUUGGAUGAACUUAGGGUAGACAGAAAUGCAAAGAUUGACAUUAUUUCCUUUUGAAAAGGAAAUGAAUUUCGUUCUCCUGAUCUUGCUUGUAUGGCUCGUGAUAUUUUGAGUAUUCCAGUUUCUACAGUAGCAUUUGAAUCUACUUUUAGUAUUGGUGGGUGUAUCAUUGAUCAGUUUAGGAGUGCACUACAAGCAGAUAUUGUUGAAGUAUUAGUCUACACUAGAGAUUGGCUAUAUGACGAGGAGCAAGGUAAUAUUAUUUUUACCUUAUUGAAUAAAUAAUUGUAAUUUUUCAAUACAAUAAUAUUAUUUGAUAUAAAAUUUUACUAAUAUCUUUUUUUUAAUAGAAACACAAGAAGUUAAAUUGGACAAGUUAACCGAAAAUGUAAUAGAGUUGGAGAAAAAUAAGGGCAGGGAGGUUGCUCCACCUCAUUCUUGAAGCUCUAAAUUUGUUUAGAUCUGUGUUUUUAUUGUAUUUGGGAUUGUAAAAUUAAUAUAUUUUCUGUGUGUUUUGUUUAUUAUUUUGGGAUGUAAUAUUAAUAUAUUAGUACAAUGUGUGUGGAAUGAAUCAUAUUUGUUUAGAUUAUAAUUCUAAACUUGUGGUUAA
Molecule: RNA transcript, 3631 nt
Organism: Carya illinoinensis
Lineage: Eukaryota; Viridiplantae; Streptophyta; Magnoliopsida; Fagales; Juglandaceae
Exons: 3
Source: RefSeq, a predicted model, not a curated record